AGAUGCAAGGGAGGGCUGUCACAUCUGUCACCUCACUGAUCGCUUCGGCUGAUCUGGCUGGCUAGAUAGUUGUCCCCUUUCUCCCUCACCACUCCACGUGUGUCCCUUCCCAAGCUCCAGGUCCCUUCACAGAGGAGACCUUCCGCAAGAGAGGAGGAACGUCCUCCCAACAAGGGUAUGGGAGUAGCUGCUCUCCCUGCCCGGACCUCCAAAGCUGUCCACUGUGUCCUUUCCUGGUAUAAUCCUUUGACACGCCUGUGAUCCCAGCUGCUCAGGAGGCAGAGAUGGGGAGGGUCAUGGCCUGAAGCCAACUCAGGCAGAAAGUU
RNAcentral lists this small nuclear RNA (326 nucleotides) under Castor canadensis (American beaver). RNAcentral describes it as "7SK RNA (ENSCCNG00000022174.1)". It matches the Rfam family "7SK RNA", at positions 1 to 273 of the family's 331-position model. From Rfam's summary of the family: 7SK was discovered as an abundant small nuclear RNA in the mid-70s but a possible function has only recently been suggested. Two independent studies have found that 7SK RNA binds the CDK9/cyclin T complex (known as elongation factor P-TEFb). Lineage: Eukaryota; Metazoa; Chordata; Mammalia; Rodentia; Castoridae. The record is from RNAcentral.